RNAcentral lists this ribosomal RNA (640 nucleotides) under uncultured bacterium. RNAcentral's name for it is "bacterial SSU rRNA". It matches the Rfam family "Bacterial small subunit ribosomal RNA", at positions 202 to 842 of the family's 1533-position model. The record is from RNAcentral.
GAAAGAUUCAUCGGAAGAGGAUGGGCAUGCGGCGCAUUAGCUUGACGGCGGGGUAACGGCCCACCGUGGCGACGAUGCGCAGGGGUUCUGAGAGGAAGGUCCCCCACACUGGUACUGAGACACGGACCAGACUCCUACGGGAGGCAGCAGUGAGGAAUAUUGGUCAAUGGGAGAGAUCCUGAACCAGCCAAGCCGCGUGAGGGAAGACGGCCCUAUGGGUUGUAAACCUCUUUUGUCGGAGAACAAAACCCGGGACGUGUCCCGGACUGCGUGUAUCCGAAGAAAAAGCAUCGGCUAACUCCGUGCCAGCAGCCGCGGUAAUACGGAGGAUGCGAGCGUUAUCCGGAUUUAUUGGGUUUAAAGGGUGCGUAGGCGGUCUGUUAAGUCAGCGGUAAAAUUGCGGGGCUCAACCCCGUCGAGCCGUUGAAACUGGCAGACUUGAGUUGGCGAGAAGUACGCGGAAUGCGCGGUGUAGCGGUGAAAUGCAUAGAUAUCGCGCAGAACUCCGAUUGCGAAGGCAGCGUACCGGCGCCAGACUGACGCUGAGGCACGAAAGCGUGGGGAUCGAACAGGAUUAGAUACCCUGGUAGUCCACGCAGUAAACGAUGAAUGCUGGUUGUCCGGGUCGAAUGAGACCUGG